This 254-nucleotide ribosomal RNA is filed under the name uncultured bacterium. RNAcentral describes it as "partial 16S ribosomal RNA". It matches the Rfam family "Bacterial small subunit ribosomal RNA", at positions 524 to 776 of the family's 1533-position model. The record is from RNAcentral.
UACGUAGGGUGCAGGCGUUAAUCGGAAUUAUUGGGCGUAAAGAGCUCGUAGGCGGUUUGGUAAGUUGGAUGUGAAAUCUCCAGGCUCAACUUGGAGGGGUCAUUCGAUACUGCCAUGACUAGAGUUCGGUAGGGGAGUGUGGAAUUCCUGGUGGAGCGGUGAAAUGCGCAGAUAUCAGGAGGAACACCCGUAGCGAAGGCGGCACUCUGGGCCGGAACUGACGCUGAGGAGCGAAAGCGUGGGGAGCGAACAGG